GCACAAGCAGUGGAGUAUGUGGUUUAAUUCGAAGCAACGCGAAGAACCUUACCAGGUCUUGACAUCCGAUGCAUAGUGCAGAGAUGCAUGAAGUCCUUCGGGACAUCGAGACAGGUGGUGCAUGGUUGUCGUCAGCUCGUGUCGUGAGAUGUUGGGUUAAGUCCCGCAACGAGCGCAACCCUUAUUGCCAGUUACUACACAAGAGGACUCUGGCGAGACUGCCGUUGACAAAA
RNAcentral lists this ribosomal RNA (233 nucleotides) under uncultured bacterium. RNAcentral describes it as "partial 16S ribosomal RNA". It matches the Rfam family "Bacterial small subunit ribosomal RNA", at positions 923 to 1163 of the family's 1533-position model. The record is from RNAcentral.